This 66-nucleotide transfer RNA is filed under the name Spondylis buprestoides. RNAcentral describes it as "tRNA-Ser". The record is from RNAcentral. Lineage: Eukaryota; Metazoa; Arthropoda; Insecta; Coleoptera; Cerambycidae.
GAAAUAGAAAAUCAAGAAUAAGCUUCUAACUUAAUUCUCAAGCGAUGAAAUUUCGUUUAUAUUUCU